Molecule: ribosomal RNA, 460 nt
Filed under: uncultured bacterium
Lineage: Bacteria
Description: partial 16S ribosomal RNA
Rfam family: Bacterial small subunit ribosomal RNA
Source: RNAcentral
CCUACGGGAUGCAGCAGUGAGGAAUAUUGGUCAAUGGACGAGAGUCUGAACCAGCCAAGUAGCGUGAAGGAUGACUGCCCUAUGGGUUGUAAACUUCUUUUAUAUGGGAAUAAAAUGUUCCACGUGUGGGAUUUUGUAUGUACCAUAUGAAUAAGGAUCGGCUAACUCCGUGCCAGCAGCCGCGGUAAUACGGAGGAUCCGAGCGUUAUCCGGAUUUAUUGGGUUUAAAGGGAGCGUAGGUGGAUUGUUAAGUCAGUUGUGAAAGUUUGCGGCUCAACCGUGAAAUUGCAGUUGAAACUGGCAGUCUUGAGUACAGUAGAGGUGGGCGGAAUUCGUGGUGUAGCGGUGAAAUGCUUAGAUAUCACGAAGAACUCCGAUUGCGAAGGCAGUUCACUGGACUGCAACUGACACUGAGGCUCGAAAGUGUGGGUAUCAAACAGGAUUAGAUACCCCAGUAGUC